This 490-nucleotide ribosomal RNA is filed under the name uncultured bacterium. RNAcentral describes it as "partial 16S ribosomal RNA". It matches the Rfam family "Bacterial small subunit ribosomal RNA", at positions 30 to 507 of the family's 1533-position model. The record is from RNAcentral.
AUUGAACGCUGGCGGCAGGCCUAACACAUGCAAGUCGAACGGUAACAGGAAGCAGCUUGCUGCUUUGCUGACGAGUGGUGGACGGGUGAGUAAUGUCUGGGAAACUGCCUGAUGGAGGGGGAUAACUACUGGAAACGGUAGCUAAUACCGCAUAACGUCGCAAGACCAAAGAGGGGGACCUUCGGGCCUCUUGCCAUCGGAUGUGCCCAGAUGGGAUUAGCUAGUAGGUGGGGUAAAGGCUCACCUAGGCGACGACCCCUAGCUGGUCUGAGAGGAUGACCAGCCACACUGGAACUGAGACACGGUCCAGACUCCUACGGGAGGCAGCAGUGGGGAAUAUUGCACAAUGGGCGCAAGCCUGAUGCAGCCAUGCCGCGUGUAUGAAGAAGGCCUUCGGGUUGUAAAGUACUUUCAGCGGGGAGGAAGGGAGUAAAGUUAAUACCUUUGCUCAUUGACGUUACCCGCAGAAGAAGCACCGGCUAACUCCGUG